RNAcentral lists this long non-coding RNA (778 nucleotides) under Salvia miltiorrhiza (redroot sage). RNAcentral describes it as "long non-coding RNA (SMIL_LNC006543)". Lineage: Eukaryota; Viridiplantae; Streptophyta; Magnoliopsida; Lamiales; Lamiaceae. The record is from RNAcentral.
GUUAUACUAAAAACAACAUUUCCUACUAGGCAUAUAAUAUAUGCGAGAUAUCAAUCGCUAGGGAAAAUGAUGGAAAAUGGAAUUCAAAUUAAAUCAAUCCAAAAGUAUCAACAUAGUUGCGCAUCAGAUUGUAUUCACCAAGUGAAUUUAUUUUAGUGGAAGUAAAACAUGGCGUUCUUCAAUAUCACAGGAACAACCUUUUCUCAGCCUCACACUUCACCACCAGCUGCUCAAUCUGCAAAAGGUUUUGAAAACAUUUGCAGAGCUGAAUACUAGUGUACUCAGUGGGUUGAGCCAUUUAAAAACAUUUUGAAAGCUAUUUACUGAAAAGAUAAUUCAUGAUUUAAUCAAUAUAACACAAAAUAAACGUGUCAUUCCAUGCAUACUAAAAAUAAUCUGAGCUCAUAUUUUCUUGGCUCAUCUAUUGGGCGCUAUCUACAACCAGUCGUCAUCGAUCUCUCGAGCCAACAAGUUCUGGUGUACGUACACAAUUCUGGUUAGCAGAGCUAACAAAGUUCUGAUUGGCGAAGCCAACAAUGUUAUGGUAGAAGCAAUAACCAAUAGAGAACAAAAACAUUUUAAGCAUGAACCAUCAACUUUAACAUUUCAUAAAAACAAGCUUAUUAGCUCAAACAUACAUUUCAUAAAUAAAGUCUUACUUGAUUGCUGAUAAUCCAAACAAUUAAACCGAGUUGAUCAGAAUCCUAAGUAUCCUCUUCUGUAAGUCCUACAAGAUAAGUUCUCAACUUAAGCUCGUAGUUCUAAAGUAAACCUUAAC